RNAcentral lists this unclassified non-coding RNA (488 nucleotides) under Hevea brasiliensis (rubber tree). Lineage: Eukaryota; Viridiplantae; Streptophyta; Magnoliopsida; Malpighiales; Euphorbiaceae. The record is from RNAcentral.
GCGAUUGAACUGUUUGAGGAGAUGGGGAAGAAAGACAUCAUCCCAAAAGCUUUCAGUUAUAACAUUAUGAUCAAAAUGUAUGUGGAUGAUAGGAACUGGGAGGAGGCAGAAAGAUGGUAUGUGAAAAUGGUGGAAAAUGGAUGUUAUCCGGAUUAUGCAACAUUUGAGAAGCUCAUUUCUUUUGCUUGUGACAAGGAUAAUCUUGAUUUUGCGCUUGAAUUGUGUAAGAAAGCUAUUGCUUCAAAAGUUGCUAUUCAUAAUGCAACAAUGCAGAGGGUAGUCAAUGUCUUGGCUGAGCAUUCCAAGCUUGAAGAUGCGCAGGAGCUGGUGAACUUGGCCAAAUCAUGUAAGCUAUACCACUGCCGACCCCGAUCGCGGUAUAAACUUUCGCUGCCUUCUUCUUUAAUAGUUGCACAUUUUAUGCUGUAGUUUACUUGCACUACUGUUUCUGCUGAACUAUGUUUUUAGGAUUUGUUGGUGAGUUUUAU